GCAAGUCGAACGAUGAACUGGAGCUUGCUCCAGGGAUUAGUGGCGAACGGGUGAGUAACACGUGAGUAACCUGCCCUUGACUCUGGGAUAAGCGCUAGAAAUGGCGUCUAAUACCGGAUACGAGCUUCAGCCGCAUGGCUAGGAGUUGGAAAGAAUUUUGGUCAAGGAUGGACUCGCGGCCUAUCAGCUAGUUGGUGAGGUAAUGGCUCACCAAGGCGACGACGGGUAGCCGGCCUGAGAGGGUGACC
Molecule: ribosomal RNA, 248 nt
Filed under: uncultured bacterium
Lineage: Bacteria
Description: partial 16S ribosomal RNA
Rfam family: Bacterial small subunit ribosomal RNA
Source: RNAcentral